AAAUGCGAUAAGUAAUGUGAAUUGCAGAAUUCAGUGAAUCAUCGAAUCUUUGAACGCACAUUGUGCUCGCCAGUAUUCUGGCGAGCAUGCCUGUUCGAGCGUCAUUUCAACCAUCAAGCUCUGCUUGCGUUGGGGAUACGCGGCUGCCCGCGGUCCCUCAAAAACAGUGGCGGGCUCGCUAGUCACACCGAGCGUAGUAACUCUACAUCGCUAUGGUCGUGCGGCGGGUUCUUGCCGUAAAACCCCCAACUUCUAAGGUUGACCUCGGAUCAGGUAGGAAUACCCGCUGAACUUAAGC
RNAcentral lists this unclassified non-coding RNA (298 nucleotides) under plant metagenome. RNAcentral's name for it is "partial contains 5.8S ribosomal RNA, internal transcribed spacer 2, and large subunit ribosomal RNA". The stretch from base 1 to 104 matches the Rfam family "5.8S ribosomal RNA", at positions 51 to 154 of the family's 154-position model. The record is from RNAcentral.